UUACGGGCCGUCUCCCGUUCUCUAGCAGUCCGCUGAGAGGAGAGUAGCAGGGCCCCGGGGCGUAACGAGGAAGACACCCAAGAGCUCCAUAUGAAUGCUCAGCCAUUGCACGUCAUUACUCACCGGGGAUGUCAACGUGGACGUCGACUGGGAGCAGAAUGAAAACGCUGCAUCGCUCACAAUCUGACAUCCUGCACUGCCCGGAUUUCAUUUGAAUUCCCUCCCACUCGAGAGGCCAACACGGGGUCACUUGAUCUGGGACCAGGACGGAAAUCAAACAGCCUGGCUUCAGGGGGAGACCUCCCCCCCACUCCUCCCCUGGACUGCCGCAUUGGAAGUCCAUCACCGGGUCACAGCCUCAAUCCGUCACUGUCGGCUGCAGCUAUCAAGAGCAGGUCCAAGGAGGGGACGGGAGUGACUCAGGACUGCGGCGCUCCAGUUCAGUCUUCGGGGUCGGACGCUUGAUGAAUCUGUUGUUGUAUUUUUUAUUUUUUUUCUCCUCGUCCAGUGCCCUCAUUAAAUCUACACCAGCCGCACGGCAGAUGAUGCGGUUUGAAGAUGAGUUGCUUUGAAACAAACAGCAUGUGAACUGCAAAUCAAUUUUCAAGCACAAGUUUGUUAUAUUUUCAUUACAUGAAUUUUGAUGCGAUUUGAAAUGCAAAUAUAUGGCCUGUUCUUCCUGGUACACAACAAGACUAAAUCUUUGCCAAGACCGGCAAUCAAACAGCUUAGUGCACUAAAAAAGAUCCCCCCCGGCCUCCCUCCCUCCCUCCUCCACUAUCUGCAGUGAAGGUCCAGGUUAUAACCUCAAUCCCUCACUCUGAGGUUGGAGACGGACUGUGUUCACUUUCCAUUUAGCCACCUCUUAUGUGCUCUGAAUUCAGACUGAGAUUGCAUACCAGGAACCUUGAAGUCUUUGAGUUAAUCCAGAGUGAAUAUAGACCUUUGAAUAUAUUUUUUCUCACCUGGCAUCCGCUUGAAACUACAUUCCGAUUUUCUGGCAGGAGUCUGUAACUUUGUACAUGCCGUAAAUCAAUGGUCUGUUUUAACCACCCACCACUCCUCUAAUUUAAGGGUUGUGCCAUCACAGAGGAGCACAGCAUUUCAAAUUCUGGCUAUGUUCACAUGUUAUUUUUGCUCUUUAAUAACAACUUUCCGCCCAGGGGUGGGAUUAUCUGUGACGAGGGGUGAACCCAGUUACACGGCAGAGAGUCUCCUUUUGGAUUUCACAGCAGACCUUUCUCUAAGGGACGAAGCUUCAAUUUUAACCUGACAGAGGGAUUCAUAUCUUUAUUUUUACCGUGAUUCUUCAGUCUGCCAAUUCCACCUGUAAUCAAAUCUCUUGAAAUGGGCAUUAGAACACUUGACAAGCUCAGUUUAACACACACUGUGACUACAUGUCCUCCUCCACAAAAGUUUUUGCGCUGCCAUAAUCCCAAAACCGACCUUUUAAUCUAAAAAUAACGGGGGCCACAACAGGAUCAAACACAAAAUGCAAAAUGAUCCUGCAGGCUUUGAACUAGUGACCGUUAUUAAAUGAUAACAGCCAGCUAUAAAUACUCAGGACAUUGAAUCUGUGGAAGGCAAUAACUUUGUGAAGGCUGUUGGAAGUCUAAAUUUAAUCCAACCUGCCCCCUACGCUCCUCUUGUUUUCUCACCCUGAGUAGAUGCUGUUUAAGUGUGAUGAUCUUUGCCAACGGGAAGGAGAAAAAAAAAAAAAAUCACACCAAACCGGCCGCAAUUGACUGCUUUGACAUGAGCAGACAUAUUAGAACAAGGAGAGAAACGCGAGGUUGUGAGUCACACUGAAAAGCACCUCGACACAACUACAGACGAUUGUACAAUUAAAAGUCUCAAAAGUUUCCGAGCUUUUUAAUUAACAUUAUUACUGGCUUGAGUUGGGACUGUAGCCUCGACUGGAGCUGGACGGUUUGCUAUCAGAGAGCGAUUUAAAGGACCCAUCAUAUGCCCAUUUUACCACAAGUUGAUAUGGUCCCUUGAGGUCUUAAUGAAAUGUCUGUAACAUACUUUCGGCAAAAUACCACAAGGAUCCUUAAAAACAGCACCCUGACUAAAACUAAAGCCCUCCACAGAGUGACCCGUUUUGAGUGGCUGUUCCUUUAAAUGCUGAUGAGCCGGCUCUCCGCUCUUCAGGGGCCAUGUGAGAGAGACUCCCAUUUCAUUGUGAUGACAGAAUGAUAUGGAAGUUCAUUCGCAGUCACUCAAGCAUGACAUUUCUGACUUACAAGAACCAUAACAAAUCACGGGAGUUGUUGUUUUUUCCCCCCAGAGUUUUGGGGUCGGUAGACAUGCCAAGAUAACCAAAUUAACAUGUAGAAGCACUAAAGAAGUGGAAUUUUUAUAAUAUGCCCUUUAACGUUGGAGUUCAAAAUCCCAAAGUGGUGCCUUUGUGAUUUACUUAGGGGGAUGGCAAAUGAGGAGGCCGGUCUGUCAUGAGGUGGCAGACUCAUAACUCACCAUUCCCCGGUGCUCCCCAGGAGAAAAAAGUGCCAGUUUUGUCAAGCGCUACAGAGACCCCGUGCAGACGGACUCUAGUUUGCCCCGUCUCCGGAUAGCCCUAUCGUGCAGACGAACGCACUGUAUCCGCACACUGUAUCCGCACUCCCUCGAAUCGGGGGUCCAAAGUGAGUAAACUCAAAAUCCGAUUGCUGUUGGUGUUCGUCUGCACGCUAUCCGCAUAAUCGGACUGCCCCACGUGAUUGCAUCACGUGAUUGCAUGCAACCUCACGCUGAACCCUUAUUAACCCCAAUGCGUCACUUCAUAACAACGACAACAAUGGCGAACGCAAGGAUAAUGUGCCUGCUGAAUGUGCUAACAAGUCUACAAUGCGUACUACGGGAAUAUCGUCAGAUCUUUUCGUUUGUAUACGGCGCGCAUGUCUUAUACGCAUGCUCCUGUCUUCUCCUUCCGUUUUCUUCAGUUGUCUGUAGCACCUUAAAGCGCCACCAACAGGCGUGGGGGAUGUACUACAGCGGAGUCAAUCGGAUUCACUGGGUUCAUGUGCACGCAAAGUGGGUAGGUGUGAAAAAUGAACCCGGGUUCAGGCAAACUAGAGUCCGUCUGCAUGGGGUCAGAGUUGGAGAAACCCCUUUGCAACGGGCAUCUUGGAUCCAUCGGGACAGGUCACAUUCUAUUCAUACAUUUCCAAAGCUUCUUAAAGCUUGAGAUGUUGUUCAAGAGGAUUCACUUUCACUCCACUACCCCCCCCCACCGCGCCAAGAGCUUCUGGAUCCUUUACAUCUGAGACUUAAAGGUUGGGGAAACAAAGGGUCUUCUAGUGUGUCAUUGUUCAUUAUCUGACUUUCCAGGGAGAGUCAUUUACUGCAUACUGAUGUAGGGCCCAAAGUCCAAAGGCAACAGAUGUAUCAUAUCCCAUCAAAAACCAGUAAUAAUUGGCCUCAAAAACACAGUAUAAAACAGGCGAUCCUUGGUCCGAAACACCAGAGGUGAAGUUAGUUGCAGUUCCAACGUGAUUGAUACUUUCGAUAUUCUUAAAGGAUUUGCAGUCUUAAAGCUUUUGUAGCAGCAAAGUCUUGAUGCUCAUUACAGACAGCAGCAGAGCCAGAAAGAUAUCUGCCACUGGUACUUUUGGGGGCUUUUGUGCUUAUAGUAUUUAUUUUUGUGGUUUUUACAGCAGUGUGAAGGCAGGCUUGUAAUGUUGCUCCAAUUAUAUGGUCCGCCCAAAGGGAAGAGCAACGAGGCUUGCUUGAGCAUCUGCUGCUUUUUGAUGCAGUUGCUGACCUCACACUGUCUCCCCCUCUGGUGGAUUAUUUAUCAUUAAAAUAUACAGCAAAACAAAAUUCCAAGAUUAGCGCUUUCAACUAUGCAACAAUGACAUACGCACCAGUAUAACAGUUUACGUAACUGUAACGUGCCAUUUGCAGUCGGAGCUCUUCAACGAUCCCCGCUGGAAUGGGAAACCAACGCCGCGCAUGCUGUCGGAGACCCAGAGAACCAGGGAAGAGGGACAAAGGAGAACCAGAAGCAGUACUGCACUGAUUAAACUAUUAGACCCUUGUUGAAGAAAAUGCAAGGUUUUUUAGUCAUGUAGUUUGAAUUGAAAUGUUAUUUUAAAAAGAGAGAGGACCAGACACAAACUCAGAAUCAUCUAUGGAAUCAAGCAGAAGAUAUUGAGAGGAUGAGUAUUUAUAAAAUGGGUCACAGCCACUAUCCACAGUGUCAGUAUGAAGUGAGUCAUGAUGGGACCGGAUGAAGCCACAAAAGAACACACAUUAGGACAGGAAGGAAAAAUGAUCUCAUCUGUGGUUUACCAAUACUUAAAGCGCUUCUAAACAGUGAACGGUAAACAAGUGUGAAACACUCAUAACUCAAAAUAGCUUUCAACGGAUCAUCAGUUUAAAAUGAAAAUAACAUGAUCCCCUUACAUCUCAUGAUAGAUUGAAGGUUUGAGACUUAAUUUCCGUAAACGUUGUGCUGUCCAACUUUUCGAAUUGAAAAUGCAUGAAAAGAGAAGUUCCAAGUCCCUGUCUUUGUCAUUGGAUUGUGGAUUGAUAUAAUAAUCCCUGAACUUGGAGCAGGUUUUCAGAUCCCCUGUCUGACUCACUGUGAAGUCAAGACAGGUAUUGCCUCAGAAAUUCAGUAAAAAGAGACACUUGAUCCUUCGGUGUCAGCGGAAAUGUUGUAGUGCUUAAGGCAUCCCAAAUUCUUUGAUUUGACAGCUGAAUGUGUUCCCUUUCAAUCCUGUGUCUCUGAUAUUCCUAUUUGUAUUAGUGACAUUUUACCCUGGUAUCAAACUCUUUCCAAGUGUCAUUCAUACGGAAGUUUGUUAUGGGUUUUCAUUGUUCUAUCUUUUGACCUUUUAAGAUUUACAUAUUGCGUCAUUUAAAAUUAAAAAUGACAAGGACCGUGGUUCUGUAGCAGAAUUCCCAAGCACUAUGCAGGCCCAACCUUAUUUCCACUCAGUAUACAUUAUGCAAUCAAAUAGACCGGAAUAUGUUAAUGAAGCCGACUGCAUUCCAGCGUGGGUCUCCUGCCUGGGCAAACAAACAUCUGCUAGUCGGCUGAAAAGGGAAAGAGACGGUCAACAAGAAAGAUAUUCAGGCUUGGCAGGUCUCGGCCCAGAGGAUUUUUUUUUCAGCGCGGUCCUCUGGCUGAAUCACAAAAUAAAUCCGUCUUGUAUCCAGAUGGGAGAGAAGGCCAUUACAGUGGCUGCAUGGUACACAGUGCUCCUCCUGACCUAAACAACCCCAUUUGCUUAACAGAAAAAUGAGCACAAGAACAUACAGAGCUACCCAAUUUUGUACUGUAGACCUUAAAAAAGAAUUCUUUUUUUCAUGUAAUCUCUAGCCGUAAUAAUAAUAAUACCAAGGUAUUGAGAUUUGUAUAGUAAACUGGAACAAGAUGUGCAGAGCAAUGGUCUAGCAGCGGCUUUUAGCAUUUAGCCAGUGGCGGCUGGUGGACUUUUAUUUGGUAGGGCCAGACAAUCAGUUUCAGUAAACAUCGCAGGAUGAUUCAAUGCAAAAAAAUGGGUAUCAAAGACGCAUUAUUACUUUGCAGUUAAAUAUUUAAGAUUUAUUCCAACAGUUUAUUGGCCUCGACGGACCAGCCGCCACUGCAUUUAGCCAAUGCUAUGCUAACAUGCAGAUGGCUGUGUUCACCUUGUUAUAUUAGAUGUGGAUGUAGACACAGUGACGACAUACAUUGCUUCUUGCAUGUUUUGAUUCCUCAAGCUCUGCAUUUUGUUCAUGUCCAUAAACCGAGAUGCGGAUGAUGAUCUUUUUUUUUUUUUUCUUGCAUACCGAAGCGACACAAGGGAGCUAAGCUUAGAACAACCAAACGUGGAAUAUGGCAGUUUUAGUUGUUGACAUGACAACAGCAUGGUAGCAACCCACCAAUCAUAAUCGAGUCAUCUGGUUAGAAUCAUUUGCCAUUUAGAGCUGGUGGGAAUAUCAAUAUGCUUGGCAGAUUUGUUCAGAAUCAAGACCUCAUAAACGUUUCAUUUCACAGCAAUCCAUCCUAUAUUUGUUUGAGAUACGUCAGUGAAAGAGAUUUUUAUGCAUACUUAUGAAAUAUACAGCACACCCUGGUAGUCUGGAUAAAUUGUAUUGUGAAACAACAUUUCCCCAAAUGUUAUUUGGUGGAGAGGUUCGUGCAGUUCGUGCAGGGGCAUUGUCAUAGUUUUAAUGCUGAACAACCUCAAGUAAUUGGACAAACAGAUUAUUGCCUCACUAUUUGCAUUGAGUUGCAUUAAAAAGAAAGAAAAAAUC
This is a long non-coding RNA of Gasterosteus aculeatus aculeatus (three-spined stickleback), 6249 nucleotides long. The record is from Ensembl. Lineage: Eukaryota; Metazoa; Chordata; Actinopteri; Perciformes; Gasterosteidae.